This 439-nucleotide ribosomal RNA is filed under the name uncultured Lactobacillus sp. Its description in RNAcentral is "bacterial SSU rRNA". It matches the Rfam family "Bacterial small subunit ribosomal RNA", at positions 338 to 769 of the family's 1533-position model. Lineage: Bacteria; Bacillati; Bacillota; Bacilli; Lactobacillales; Lactobacillaceae. The record is from RNAcentral.
CCUACGGGAGGCAGCAGUAGGGAAUCUUCCACAAUGGACGAAAGUCUGAUGGAGCAACGCCGCGUGAGUGAAGAAGGGUUUCGGCUCGUAAAACUCUGUUGUUAAAGAAGAACAUAUCUGAGAGUAACUGUUCAGGUAUUGACGGUAUUUAACCAGAAAGCCACGGCUAACUACGUGCCAGCAGCCGCGGUAAUACGUAGGUGGCAAGCGUUGUCCGGAUUUAUUGGGCGUAAAGCGAGCGCAGGCGGUUUUUUAAGUCUGAUGUGAAAGCCUUCGGCUCAACCGAAGAAGUGCAUCGGAAACUGGGAAACUUGAGUGCAGAAGAGGACAGUGGAACUCCAUGUGUAGCGGUGAAAUGCGUAGAUAUAUGGAAGAACACCAGUGGCGAAGGCGGCUGUCUGGUCUGUAACUGACGCUGAGGCUCGAAAGUAUGGGUAGC